GUAUGGUGAUGAAAACCCAUGCGUGUCAUCUGACUAUGUAAAAUCCUGCUGUGUUGUUGCUCAGGUUGACGUUCUGCUGACCUGAGUCUUCUGCACAGCUGGAAUUCAUAGACAUGAUCACACUUGACUGUUUCUGAAUCC
Solea solea (common sole) is the source of this 141-nucleotide small nucleolar RNA. RefSeq annotates it as small nucleolar RNA SNORD10. The record is from RefSeq and is a predicted model, not a curated record. Lineage: Eukaryota; Metazoa; Chordata; Actinopteri; Pleuronectiformes; Soleidae. The transcript has a single exon.